RNAcentral lists this ribosomal RNA (252 nucleotides) under uncultured bacterium. Its description in RNAcentral is "partial 16S ribosomal RNA". It matches the Rfam family "Bacterial small subunit ribosomal RNA", at positions 524 to 776 of the family's 1533-position model. The record is from RNAcentral.
UACGUAGGGGGCAAGCGUUGUCCGGAAUUAUUGGGCGUAAAGCGCGCGCAGGCGGCCAUGUGAGUCUGGUGUUUAAGCCCAAGGCUCAACCUUGGGACGCACUGGAAACUGUGUGGCUGGAGUGCAGGAGAGGAAAGUGGAAUUCCACGUGUAGCGGUGAAAUGCGUAGAGAUGUGGAGGAACACCAGUGGCGAGGGCGACUUUCUGGCCUGUAACCGACGCUGAGGCGCGAAAGCGUGGGGAGCAAACAGG